RNAcentral lists this ribosomal RNA (507 nucleotides) under uncultured bacterium. RNAcentral's name for it is "bacterial SSU rRNA". It matches the Rfam family "Bacterial small subunit ribosomal RNA", at positions 8 to 502 of the family's 1533-position model. The record is from RNAcentral.
AGAGUUUGAUCCUGGCUCAGAACGAACGCUGGCGGCGUGCCUAACACAUGCAAGUCGAACGUGAACUUCGUCUUCGGACGAAUAGUAAAGUGGCGCACGGGUGAGUAACGCGUGGGUAAUUUGCCCUGAGGACCGGGAUAACCAGCCGAAAGGCUGGCUAAUACCGGAUAAAGUCAUGUUUCAUAAGUGACAUGACCAAAGGUGGCUUCGGCUGCCGUCUCUGGAUGAGCCCGCGUACCAUUAGCUAGUUGGUGGGGUAAAGGCCUACCAAGGCAACGAUGGUUAGCUGGUCUGAGAGGACGACCAGCCACACUGGAACUGAGACACGGUCCAGACUCCUACGGGAGGCAGCAGUGGGGAAUAUUGCGCAAUGGGGGAAACCCUGACGCAGCGACGCCGCGUGAGCGAUGAAGGCCCUCGGGUCGUAAAGCUCUGUCAGGUGGGAAGAAACUUCUGGUGAUUAAUAGUCGCUGGAACUGACGUACCACCAGAGAAGCACCGCUAACU